RNAcentral lists this ribosomal RNA (253 nucleotides) under uncultured bacterium. Its description in RNAcentral is "partial 16S ribosomal RNA". It matches the Rfam family "Bacterial small subunit ribosomal RNA", at positions 524 to 776 of the family's 1533-position model. The record is from RNAcentral.
UACAGAGGGUGCAAACGUUGCUCGGAAUCAUUGGGCGUAAAGCGCACGUAGGCGGCCCAGCAAGUGGGGAGUGACAGCCCUCGGCUUAACCGAGGAAGUGCUUUCCAAACUACUGGGCUUGAAUACUGGAGAGGGUCGCGGAAUUCCCGGUGUAGAGGUGAAAUUCGUAGAUAUUCGGAGGAACACCAGUGGCGAAGGCGGCUCACUGGUCCAUUACUGACGCUGAGGUGCGAAAGCGUGGGGAGCAAACAGG